RNAcentral lists this non-coding RNA (26 nucleotides) under Homo sapiens (human). Lineage: Eukaryota; Metazoa; Chordata; Mammalia; Primates; Hominidae. The record is from RNAcentral.
UGGGUAGGAAUGCGCUGCCGGGCUGC